Molecule: transfer RNA, 85 nt
Filed under: bacterium
Lineage: Bacteria
Also listed under: 2 other names
Description: tRNA-Ser
Rfam family: tRNA
About the family: Transfer RNA (tRNA) molecules are approximately 80 nucleotides in length. Their secondary structure includes four short double-helical elements and three loops (D, anti-codon, and T loops). Further hydrogen bonds mediate the characteristic L-shaped molecular structure. tRNAs have two regions of fundamental functional importance: the anti-codon, which is responsible for specific mRNA codon recognition, and the 3' end, to which the tRNAs corresponding amino acid is attached (by aminoacyl-tRNA synthetases). tRNAs cope with the degeneracy of the genetic code in two manners: having more than one tRNA (with a specific anti-codon) for a particular amino acid; and 'wobble' base-pairing, i.e. permitting non-standard base-pairing at the 3rd anti-codon position.
Source: RNAcentral
GGAGGCGUCGGAUAGUGGUUUAUUCCACCACCUUGGAAAGGUGGCAUACCGAAAGGUAUCGUGAGUUCAAAUCUCACCGCCUCCG